AUUGGAUCCAUUCAGCCGCAGCCGCCCGGGCGGAGCGCGUCCCGCAGCCGGCUGGUCCCUGUCGCUGCCCCUGCGCUCGUCCCAGCCCACCCGCCCGGUGCGGAGCUCGCCAUGGCGGCCACCGACCUGGAGCGCUUCUCGCACCAUCUGUCACUUCCGUUGUCACCCCCGCAAUCUUGAUACUUCCCCAAGAAGCGGGCUCUUCAGGGAGUACCUAGUCCCUCCUGAAGCAGGAAUUGAGAGCCCGCACCCAAAUGGGGCUCAAGGUCUCUGUCAGAGUGAUAUCUCCCCAUCUUGUAAAAACGGCCAGUAGCCUCCUUGCUGAGCCAUGCCGAAGAAAAACGGGAGCUGAGCAAGAGAUGCCCGUGCAGCUCCCAGGGCACAUGUGAGCACCACCUGCAGAGCUGCAGCUCUGCCCUCUCCCCCAGGAGAAUGCAGAGCCAGAGCCCCGGAGCCUCUCCCUGGGCGGCCAUGUGGGUUUCGACAGCCUCCCCGACCAGCUGGUCAGCAAGUCGGUCACUCAGGGCUUCAGCUUCAACAUCCUCUGUGUGGGGGAGACCGGCAUUGGCAAAUCCACACUG
This 581-nucleotide small RNA is filed under the name Pan troglodytes (chimpanzee). RNAcentral's name for it is "processed transcript". Lineage: Eukaryota; Metazoa; Chordata; Mammalia; Primates; Hominidae. The record is from RNAcentral.